RNAcentral lists this long non-coding RNA (269 nucleotides) under Musa acuminata (dwarf banana). RNAcentral describes it as "long non-coding RNA (MACU_LNC011021)". The record is from RNAcentral. Lineage: Eukaryota; Viridiplantae; Streptophyta; Magnoliopsida; Zingiberales; Musaceae.
AGAGUUCCAAGGAGGCCGAUCCCCUAAAGAGAUCAACCCCAAGUUUAGAAUCUGUAAGGGUUCUAACAACUGGUAUCAGAGCAGCAUUCUUGGCAUCUCGCUGCCCUUCCACUGCCAUCCAUCAACCCUCCACAACCGCCCAAAGCAAUUCCCACAAUUGCUUAAAAGAUCGUCGCCAAAUUCCACCGUCAUCUCCACCACCGCAGAUCAUCCUUUGAUCUCCCUAUUAGUUGCAACAGGUUUUGGUUUCCUACCUUACUGCUGCUGCA